This 482-nucleotide ribosomal RNA is filed under the name Escherichia coli. RNAcentral describes it as "partial 23S ribosomal RNA". It matches the Rfam family "Bacterial large subunit ribosomal RNA", at positions 1262 to 1746 of the family's 2925-position model. Lineage: Bacteria; Pseudomonadati; Pseudomonadota; Gammaproteobacteria; Enterobacterales; Enterobacteriaceae. The record is from RNAcentral. RNAcentral also lists the same sequence under 1 other name.
UGUGAGGUAUGCUGGAGGUAUCAGAAGUGCGAAUGCUGACAUAAGUAACGAUAAAGCGGGUGAAAAGCCCGCUCGCCGGAAGACCAAGGGUUCCUGUCCAACGUUAAUCGGGGCAGGGUGAGUCGACCCCUAAGGCGAGGCCGAAAGGCGUAGUCGAUGGGAAACAGGUUAAUAUUCCUGUACUUGGUGUUACUGCGAAGGGGGGACGGAGAAGGCUAUGUUGGCCGGGCGACGGUUGUCCCGGUUUAAGCGUGUAGGCUGGUUUUCCAGGCAAAUCCGGAAAAUCAAGGCUGAGGCGUGAUGACGAGGCACUACGGUGCUGAAGCAACAAAUGCCCUGCUUCCAGGAAAAGCCUCUAAGCAUCAGGUAACAUCAAAUCGUACCCCAAACCGACACAGGUGGUCAGGUAGAGAAUACCAAGGCGCUUGAGAGAACUCGGGUGAAGGAACUAGGCAAAAUGGUGCCGUAACUUCGGGAGAAGG